AGGUAUUACAGGUCCCUCAACUAUUAAAACCGGUACAGAUUAGGUCCCUCGGCGGUUUAGAUGGCGGUUUUGCCUGAUGUGGCGCCUAUAUGACUAAUUUGACUCGGUCUUGAUCUGAUGUGGUACCGACGUGGCGUUUACGUGGCAAUUCAAUUAAAAAUAAUAAUAAACCUCGUGGGACCCACAUGUCAGUUUCACACUGAAAUUAAUAAAAAAUGGUGGGGCCCACGCGGGCCCCACAUGUCAUUCUCAACCCCCUUCUUCCUCAAUCCCCAUCCCCUCUCAUCAACUCUCUCUCCCCUCUCCUCUCUCGCGACGGAGGCAUGGCUCUGGCGACUGUGGCGGCCGGUGGAGAGGAGUUGGGCGUCGGUGCUCAUGCCACCGCCUCCUCCAUUGACCUCGCCGUCACCGGCGGCCUCUCGCCCAAUCCACAGCCAUGCCUCCGGUGGUGACCCACUAGCCCUGCUCGCUCCCAUCCCCCAUGGCUUCCGAGCGCCCGAUGCCUCGCUGCCGCCGCCGACGUUGUCGCUUCUCCCGCCGACGUAGCCGGAGCCACCCAUCCGUGCCGAACGCCUCGCGUUCUCCCUCGAGGUGCCCGACCCCUUCCGCCGGGAGCCUGACCCGUCGGCCGUGUCACAGUGGGAGGUGGAGGAGGAGGAGGAGGAGGAGGGGGGCAGUGAGGAGGAGUCCCGCGCGGUUGUUGUCAGGGAGCCCUCCUCCACGGCGCGCAGCGGCCGGGCGAGGAGAGGCGGCCCUCCUCUGCAGGCAAAAUUACUUGAAACAGUGGCGGCGGCAACCCACUGAUGAGCUCCGGCCCUCCGUGGAUGGUGGACGAGCGCGCUUGGCUGGAUGGUGGUGGAGCGAGCUGGAGAGGACGGCGGCCAGCCACCGCGAGCUUGUGUGGAAAGGAGGCUCGUUUUGCUUCUUCUUCAUCCAACCCCCGUUCUUGUCUUUCUCUUUGUUGCUUGAUUGUCUUCCCCUGGAAUCGACAUCAAAAAGGAAUUUUUCUCACA
Oryza sativa Japonica Group (Japanese rice) is the source of this 1013-nucleotide non-coding RNA. NCBI's taxonomy places the organism in Eukaryota, Viridiplantae, Streptophyta, Magnoliopsida, Poales, Poaceae. The record is from RefSeq and is a predicted model, not a curated record.